AUCCAGCUGACGAGUUCCAAAUAAGACGAAACGUGAGUCCUGGAU
This 45-nucleotide non-coding RNA is filed under the name Schistosoma margrebowiei. The record is from RNAcentral. Lineage: Eukaryota; Metazoa; Platyhelminthes; Trematoda; Strigeidida; Schistosomatidae.